AAAAAGGUUUCAUCAAAGACACACAGACAGCUCCUGAAGUAAAGGACCUACACAGGACCUUCAUAUCAAGGACAUUGACUGUGUGGAUCUCGAGGUGCAGUUACCCAAAAGUUGCUACCCACGGAAUACCAGGUUUUGAGGGAUCCUGCCAGAGCAGAGAAUCAACAGAUACAUUGAAGAGGAGACUCCGACAUGACCGCCGGCAUCUUGUGUUAUUCACCCCCACCACUUGUAAUACUGAAUGCCUGAAUUGUUGUUUGCUGCUCAGACUUUGUCAACAGAUAUGGUCUUCGACAUGUUACCCUUAGGUGUGGAAACAGAUUGUGACAGUCCAGCAAAAUGAGCCAGACAGAUAGUAACACUGAAAAAGGACAACGUUGUUCCCAUGGCCUCCCACUGCAGAAGACUACAGACGUUCAGUGAAGCACAAACAGCUGUUCCUCUCGUACUUAAUAAUUUAGUCAGCUGGAUUCUAGGUGCCACUAAGGAGCCAACAGUGGAUAAUUUUGUCAACAUUUCAAUGGCAUACAUUAAAAGGGCAGCCUGUAAUUGUUUGCCUUGCCUCCAUCUUCCUUGCCACCAAGGGUUGUAGACCGAUGCCCUAGUCCUCCUGUUUAGGUACAACCAUGCAGUUAGGCCAGUCUAUUGAAGCAUAUACUUAUGACUGUUUGUAUGUGUUGUGUAUCUAGUAAUGGAUAAAUUACCACAUGAAUAACUGCAUAUUCAUUAUAUUGAUAAUUAUAAUGGCUUCCAUUAUUGAUUAAAAAGGGAUCUACCACCACUUGCAUUAUUGUUUUGUUAUAAAUGAAGCACUGUUAGGAAUCCAGGAAGACGGAUGC
Long non-coding RNA from Engraulis encrasicolus (European anchovy), 839 nucleotides. RefSeq lists it as uncharacterized. NCBI's taxonomy places the organism in Eukaryota, Metazoa, Chordata, Actinopteri, Clupeiformes, Engraulidae. The record is from RefSeq and is a predicted model, not a curated record. The transcript has 3 exons.